UACGAAGGGGGCUAGCGUUGCUCGGAAUCACUGGGCGUAAAGGGCGCGUAGGCGGCCAUUCAAGUCGGAGGUGAAAGCCCAGGGCUCAACCCUGGAAUUGCCUUCGAUACUGUCUGGCUAGAGACCGGAAGAGGUAAGUGGAACUGCGAGUGUAGAGGUGAAAUUCGUAGAUAUUCGCAAGAACACCAGUGGCGAAGGCGGCUCACUGGCCCGAUACUGACGCUGAGGCACGAAAGCGUGGGGAGCAAACAGG
RNAcentral lists this ribosomal RNA (253 nucleotides) under uncultured bacterium. Its description in RNAcentral is "partial 16S ribosomal RNA". It matches the Rfam family "Bacterial small subunit ribosomal RNA", at positions 524 to 776 of the family's 1533-position model. The record is from RNAcentral.